GUUUUAAUAAUUUAAAAUAAAAUACUGGUUUUGUAAACCAAAUAUGGAUCUCCUUAAAACU
Molecule: transfer RNA, 61 nt
Filed under: Asiopsocus sonorensis
Lineage: Eukaryota; Metazoa; Arthropoda; Insecta; Psocodea; Asiopsocidae
Description: tRNA-Thr
Source: RNAcentral